RNAcentral lists this ribosomal RNA (272 nucleotides) under uncultured bacterium. RNAcentral's name for it is "partial 16S ribosomal RNA". It matches the Rfam family "Bacterial small subunit ribosomal RNA", at positions 524 to 796 of the family's 1533-position model. The record is from RNAcentral.
UACGGAGGAUGCGAGCGUUAUCCGGAUUUAUUGGGUUUAAAGGGUGCGUAGGCGGAUUAAUAAGUCAGUGGUGAAAACCUGCAGCUUAACUGUGGAACUGCCGUUGAUACUGUUAGUCUUGAGUAUGGUCAAGGUAGGCGGAAUGUGUAAUGUAGCGGUGAAAUGCUUAGAUAUUACACAGAACACCGAUUGCGAAGGCAGCUUACUGGGCCAUAACUGACGCUGAUGCACGAAAGCGUGGGGAUCGAACAGGAUUAGAAACCGAGUAGUCC